AGGACGAACGCUGGCGGCGUGCCUAACACAUGCAAGUCGAGCGAGGAGAUCCUUCGGGAUGAUCCUAGCGGCGGACGGGUGAGUAACACGUGGGCAACCUGCCUCAUAGAGAGGAAUAGCCUUCCGAAAGGGAGAUUAAUACCUCAUAACAUUGCAGUUUCGCAUGGAACAGCAAUUAAAGGAGUAAUCCGCUAUGAGAUGGGGCCCCGCGGCGCAUUAGCUAGUUGGUGAGGUAACGGCUCACCAAGGCGACGAUGCGUAGCCGACCUGAGAGGGUGAUCGGCCACAUUGGGACUGAGACACGGCCCAGACUCCUACGGGAGGCAGCAGUGGGGAAUAUUGCACAAUGGGGGAAACCCUGAUGCAAGCAACGCCGCGUGAGUGAUGACGGCCUUCGGGUUGUAAAGCUCUGUCUUCAGGGACGAUAAUGACGGUACCUGAGGAGGAAGCCACGGCUAACUACGUGCCAGCCGCUGC
RNAcentral lists this ribosomal RNA (477 nucleotides) under uncultured bacterium. Its description in RNAcentral is "bacterial SSU rRNA". It matches the Rfam family "Bacterial small subunit ribosomal RNA", at positions 26 to 518 of the family's 1533-position model. The record is from RNAcentral.